This 497-nucleotide ribosomal RNA is filed under the name uncultured bacterium. Its description in RNAcentral is "partial 16S ribosomal RNA". It matches the Rfam family "Bacterial small subunit ribosomal RNA", at positions 28 to 507 of the family's 1533-position model. The record is from RNAcentral.
GAUGAACGCUGGCGGCGUGCCUAAUACAUGCAAGUCGAGCGAACGGACGAGAAGCUUGCUUCUCUGAUGUUAGCGGCGGACGGGUGAGUAACACGUGGAUAACCUACCUAUAAGACUGGGAUAACUUCGGGAAACCGGAGCUAAUACCGGAUAAUAUUUUGAACCGCAUGGUUCAAAAGUGAAAGACGGUCUUGCUGUCACUUAUAGAUGGAUCCUCGCUGCAUUAGCUAGUUGGUAAGGUAACGGCUUACCAAGGCAACGAUGCAUAGCCGACCUGAGAGGGUGAUCGGCCACACUGGAACUGAGACACGGUCCAGACUCCUACGGGAGGCAGCAGUAGGGAAUCUUCCGCAAUGGGCGAAAGCCUGACGGAGCAACGCCGCGUGAGUGAUGAAGGUCUUCGGAUCGUAAAACUCUGUUAUUAGGGAAGAACAUAUGUGUAAGUAACUGUGCACAUCUUGACGGUACCUAAUCAGAAAGCCACGGCUAACUACGUG